AGGUUGUCCGUGGUGAGUUCGCAUUAUUUAAUGAUGCCCAAUACACGGUCGACCUCU
This 57-nucleotide microRNA precursor is filed under the name Macaca mulatta (Rhesus monkey). Lineage: Eukaryota; Metazoa; Chordata; Mammalia; Primates; Cercopithecidae. The record is from RNAcentral. RNAcentral also lists the same sequence under 2 other names.